UCCUUGGUGGCCUAGUGGUUAAGGAUAUGGCAUUGUCACUGCUGUGGCACAGGUUCGAUCCUUGGCCUGGGAA
Molecule: transfer RNA, 73 nt
Filed under: Sus scrofa (pig)
Lineage: Eukaryota; Metazoa; Chordata; Mammalia; Artiodactyla; Suidae
Rfam family: tRNA
About the family: Transfer RNA (tRNA) molecules are approximately 80 nucleotides in length. Their secondary structure includes four short double-helical elements and three loops (D, anti-codon, and T loops).
Source: Rfam by way of RNAcentral